This 119-nucleotide ribosomal RNA is filed under the name Pteropus alecto (black flying fox). Lineage: Eukaryota; Metazoa; Chordata; Mammalia; Chiroptera; Pteropodidae. The record is from RNAcentral.
GUCUAUGGUCAUGCUACCCUGAACAAGCCCAAUCCUGUCUGAUCUCGGAAGUUAAGCAGGGUCGGGCCUGGUUAAUACUUGGAUGGGAGACCACCUAGGAAGACCAGGUGCUGUAGGCA